GAUGAACGCUGGCGGCGUGCCUAAUACAUGCAAGUCGAGCGAACAGACGAGGAGCUUGCUCCUCUGACGUUAGCGGCGGACGGGUGAGUAACACGUGGAUAACCUACCUAUAAGACUGGGAUAACUUCGGGAAACCGGAGCUAAUACCGGAUAAUAUAUUGAACCGCAUGGUUCAAUAGUGAAAGACGGUUUUGCUGUCACUUAUAGAUGGAUCCGCGCCGCAUUAGCUAGUUGGUAAGGUAACGGCUUACCAAGGCGACGAUGCGUAGCCGACCUGAGAGGGUGAUCGCCCACACGGGAACUGAGACACGGUCCAGACUCCUACGGGAGGCAGCAGUAGGGAAUCUUCCGCAAUGGGCGAAAGCCUGACGGAGCAACGCCGCGUGAGUGAUGAAGGUCUUCGGAUCGUAAAACUCUGUUAUUAGGGAAGAACAAAUGUGUAAGUAACUAUGCACGUCUUGACGGUACCUAAUCAGAAAGCCACGGCUAACUACGUG
Molecule: ribosomal RNA, 497 nt
Filed under: uncultured bacterium
Lineage: Bacteria
Description: partial 16S ribosomal RNA
Rfam family: Bacterial small subunit ribosomal RNA
Source: RNAcentral